This 498-nucleotide ribosomal RNA is filed under the name uncultured bacterium. Its description in RNAcentral is "bacterial SSU rRNA". It matches the Rfam family "Bacterial small subunit ribosomal RNA", at positions 29 to 518 of the family's 1533-position model. The record is from RNAcentral.
AAUGAACGUUGGCGGCGUGGAUUAGGCAUGCAAGUCGAGCGAGAAUCUGCGAUUGGAAGCUUCGGCCGAAGAAAGUGAAGGAAAGCGGCAAACGGCGUAGUAAGGCGUAGGCACGUACCCUCGGGUCGGGAAUAGCCAUGGGAAACUGUGGGUAAUGCCCGAUAAUCUCUGCGGAGCAAAGGUGUGAUUCCGCCGGAGGAGCGGCUUACGUGAUAUUAGCUAGUUGGUGGGGUAAUGGCCUACCAAGGCAACGAUGUCUAGGGGGUGUGAGAGCAUGGCCCCCACGACCGGAACUGAGACACUGUCCGGACACCUACGGGUGGCUGCAGUCGAGAAUCUUCCGCAAUGGGCGAAAGCCUGACGGAGCGACGCCGCGUGGUGGAUGAAGGCCCUUGGGUUGUAAACACCUGUCAGAGGGGAUGAAAUCAUGGUUGGCAAUCCUUCCAUGUUGACAGAGCCCCAGAGGAAGCACGGGCUAAGUACGUGCCAGCAGCCGAC